Molecule: long non-coding RNA, 207 nt
Organism: Pipistrellus kuhlii (Kuhl's pipistrelle)
Lineage: Eukaryota; Metazoa; Chordata; Mammalia; Chiroptera; Vespertilionidae
Exons: 2
Source: RefSeq, a predicted model, not a curated record
GGAGCCUGCCUCGGCAGGGACACCAGAGAUGCUGUGUGACCCUUUAGACUUUCUCUACUGUCUCCAGAGCCCAGGGCUGGCUCGUGGGGCAAAGAGGAAAAGACACAAGAAGACCCUUUGUUGAAGAGCUUACACAAAACCUAUAGGUACUACCUGCUCAGGUGUGCUACGGCGCAGGUGGGUUCCAUUCGGGCCCCUCUCUUCCCU